GUAGGGUGCGAGCGUUAAUCGGAAUUACUGGGCGUAAAGCGUGCGCAGGCGGUUGUGUAAGACAGGUGUGAAAUCCCCGGGCUUAACCUGGGAACGGCGCUUGUGACUGCACGGCUAGAGUACGGCAGAGGGGGGUGGAAUUCCACGUGUAGCAGUGAAAUGCGUAGAUAUGUGGAGGAACACCGAUGGCGAAGGCAGCCCCCUGGGCCGAUACUGACGCUCAUGCACGAAAGCGUGGGGAGCAAACAGGAUUAGAUACCCUGGUAGUCCACGCCCUAAACGAUGUCAACUAGUUGUUCGGAGAGGUAACUUUCUGAGUAACGCAGCUAACGCGUGAAGUUGACCGCCUGGGGAGUACGGCCGCAAGGUUA
This 371-nucleotide ribosomal RNA is filed under the name uncultured bacterium. RNAcentral describes it as "bacterial SSU rRNA". It matches the Rfam family "Bacterial small subunit ribosomal RNA", at positions 527 to 896 of the family's 1533-position model. The record is from RNAcentral.